CAAGCUGCCCGUGAGUCUGUUCCUCUUCUUGGACUCGGAGUUUCCUGAGGUCCUGGGUCUUAGUUCCCUUUACAAGCCCAGAGCACGGCACUGAGGGCUGUUCAGAGGCAGUAGCAUCAGCGAUGGCCACACGGAUGGGGCUGGUGAUCUGUGUGGGGAGAAGACAGCUGAACUCUCCACGUUCCUCAGAACCUCAAAGGGAAUCUUCAUGAUCCAGGGAUUGAACCUCCGUCUCCUGCAUUGACAGACAGAUUCUUUACCACUGAGCCACCAGGGAAGCCCUAAGGAUCUUGAGAGGACCUUACAUCCAAAGACUGUGUCCUUAUAAAAG
This is a long non-coding RNA of Bubalus bubalis (water buffalo), 331 nucleotides long. RefSeq lists it as uncharacterized. The transcript is spliced from 3 exons. The record is from RefSeq and is a predicted model, not a curated record. Lineage: Eukaryota; Metazoa; Chordata; Mammalia; Artiodactyla; Bovidae.